RNAcentral lists this ribosomal RNA (506 nucleotides) under uncultured bacterium. RNAcentral describes it as "partial 16S ribosomal RNA". It matches the Rfam family "Bacterial small subunit ribosomal RNA", at positions 29 to 523 of the family's 1533-position model. The record is from RNAcentral.
AGUGAACGCUGGCGGUAGGCCUAACACAUGCAAGUCGAACGGCAGCACAGGAGAGCUUGCUCUCUGGGUGGCGAGUGGCGGACGGGUGAGGAAUACAUCGGAAUCUACUUUUUCGUGGGGGAUAACGUAGGGAAACUUACGCUAAUACCGCAUACGACCUACGGGUGAAAGCAGGGGACCUUCGGGCCUUGCGCGAUUGAAUGAGCCGAUGUCGGAUUAGCUAGUUGGCGGGGGAAAGGCCCACCAAGGCGACGAUCCGUAGCUGGUCUGAGAGGAUGAUCAGCCACACUUGAAGUGAGACACGGGCCAGACUCCUACGGGAGGCAGCAGUGGGGAAUAUUGGACAAUGGGCGCAAGCCUGAUCCAGCCAUACCGCGUGGGUGAAGAAGGCCUUCGGGUUGUAAAGCCCUUUUGUUGGGAAAGAAAUCCAGCUGGCUAAUACCCGGUUGGGAUGACGGUACCCAAAGAAUAAGCACCGGCUAACUUCGUGCCAGCAGCCGCGGUAA